AGCCUAAACCAACAGGGAGCAUUAACCUCUUACAUUAGCCUUUCCCGCGCUUGUAUGCUACAGUUGCUAACAUGCUAAUGUGCCAAAUGUAAUUAACAUCACAACUUUUACAAACUGCAUUGCUGCAAGUUGGUAGAGUAUUAAAAAUACACACACAUGCAUUUAUCUAUGAUAGAUUGCAAUAAGUCCUCAUUCAGGUGGUAAAACUCUGCAUUAACCACAUUAGAGACAUAUCAAUUGUAAGACAUGUUAACGUGGGCUAGCAUGCUAACACGCUAAUCGCUGUUAGCACCACACACUACAAACUGCAUCAAAUUGGUACAGUGUUAAAAAUACACACAUAUUUGCCUUCUGCAAAUUGCACUAAAUAUCAAGUGAUAUAACUCUGAAUUCUGCCAAAUAGCCGUGUCUACUUUCCCUCCACGUUAUGUCCUACAGUGUUGAUUCUGCACAAAAGGCUAAAACUUGAAUUUAAACACUGAAUAAGAGCCUAUUACGUGUCUUUAGUAGAAUAUAAUUCCUUGUAGACUAUUAACUUGGAAAACAAUCUACAGCCAAAGGAUAUUCAUACAAUAACAUCAUUUCUAAUAAUUACCCUGUAUAGCUCACAAUUUAUUCAUAAUAUAACAAAUUAUGAAUUAAUUAUCUAGCCUACUAAUGGUUUUUUCAUGAAUAUUUCAUAAUUAAUUAAUGAUUUAUAGAUGACUUACAACAUAUUUGUGAUAUGUUAACACAGCAUUAAUUUAUCAUUUACAGUUAAGUGACAGUACCUUCUUUACAAUACAGUCCGUACAGAAGAGUUUUUACAGUAGAGUGACAGUGGGGUCUGUACAUAAUACUCUACAGAGGAGUUUUAGAGUAGUGACAGUAGAGUCUUUACAGUAGAGUGACAGUUUUAAUUAAUCAUUUACAAAGGUAUAUUGUUUUGUCUAUGAUUAGUUCAUUAUUAACUAAUGUAUUUAUAAAUGACUUACUACCGAUGUUAUUAUAAAGUGUUACCCAUGGAAAUUAUAAAAGUCAGUGAUUAAAGUUAAUACAUUUAAUGGUACAAGUGUCUUCUUCAAUUUAAGCCAUUAUCUAUCAUUAUCAUUUAAGCCAUUAUCCAUCCAUUAUCUAUCUAACAUUAUCUAUGGAGCUGUGAUGUUCACAUCUGGUGUUAUAAAGCAGAACAAUACAUUUACCAGAACAAUACAAAUUUAGGCAGUAAUAGGCCCAGUUUGGCCUCUGCAUUAAAGGGCUAACAUUAAUAACUUACUCUUCACAUCCCCUUUCUAGGAGCACUAUUAAAGUACACGAUUGGUGUACAGGUCACAGGUGCCAGUAAACACAGCUCCCACUGUUAGUCCAUCAACCACCUCUACUCCUGGUGCAGAAAGUGGUCGUAUCACCCAAGAAGCAGAUAAUGCUGCAGGUCCAUCAACUUCCACCUCUACUUCCAUCUCUGGUGUCAUCCAAGAAAGCUCUAACAAUGCUGGUUUUUAUGUACCUAUUGAAGUGGAGAACAGUGCCACCAUGCCUACCACCACACCUGGCUCUCCAGUUUCUACUCCUCGAGUGGAUCCAACUGACUGGCCAUCAAUCAGUCAUCAGUCAGUCAGUUUGUCCAGUUUGAAUUAUUCUAAAGUGACCCUCUGUGAGCAACAACUAACCUGUACUAACUAAUGUACCUACUGUAAGUUACUGGACAUGUCCUCAAUGAUUCAUUUCACUUGUUCUACUUCAGAUGCUUAAUAGCGAAAUAAUUGAAACACAAAAUAAAAAUUUUCAAUGAAUUUUCAACAGUUUUUUUUUUUUUUCAAAAUAGCAUUAGGUGGUAUAUUGUAGACAAAGCAUAACAUACUAAGCGGGUAGAUUCCAGUCUGAAAAGUGAAGCCAAUGCGGAAGUGCCUUAAACCCAGGCCUGGACUGGUAAUCAGGAGCACCGAGAUUUCUCCCAGUAGCCUGGCCUGCUAAAUGGCCCAGUAGGCCUGCUGCACUUUUUUUUUUUGGACCCUGAACGCAACACUGCCCUGUGUGCUGUGCCAGCCAGGCAUGGCAGAAGUAGAGAAUGAGUCGAGAGAGAGAGAGAGACAGAGAGAGAGAGAGAGCAGUUGGCAGUUGCCAAGUGGGUAGCAAGAAGUGCCUUACACCCACAUUCUU
Molecule: long non-coding RNA, 2139 nt
Organism: Thunnus maccoyii (southern bluefin tuna)
Lineage: Eukaryota; Metazoa; Chordata; Actinopteri; Scombriformes; Scombridae
Exons: 4
Source: RefSeq, a predicted model, not a curated record